UACGGAGGGUGCAAGCGUUAUCCGGAUUUACUGGGUUUAAAGGGUGCGCAGGCGGUUAUGUAAGACAGGUGUGAAAUCCCAGGGCUUAACCUUGGAACUGCAUUUGUGACUGCAUAGCUAGAGUACGGUAGAGGGGGAUGGAAUUCCGCGUGUAGCAGUGAAAUGCGUAGAUAUGCGGAGGAACACCGAUGGCGAAGGCAAUCCCCUGGACCUGUACUGACGCUCAUGCACGAAAGCGUGGGGAGCAAACAGG
This 253-nucleotide ribosomal RNA is filed under the name uncultured bacterium. RNAcentral's name for it is "partial 16S ribosomal RNA". It matches the Rfam family "Bacterial small subunit ribosomal RNA", at positions 524 to 776 of the family's 1533-position model. The record is from RNAcentral.